RNAcentral lists this transfer RNA (75 nucleotides) under Yersinia bercovieri. Its description in RNAcentral is "tRNA-Ala(cgc)". The record is from RNAcentral. Lineage: Bacteria; Pseudomonadati; Pseudomonadota; Gammaproteobacteria; Enterobacterales; Yersiniaceae.
CGGGAUUGUGGCGGGGCGCACCCCGAUUCGCUAUCAGGGGGUGGAGGUUGGGAUGGUGCAAUCCAUCAGUCUCGA